This 443-nucleotide ribosomal RNA is filed under the name Xanthoconium affine var. maculosum. RNAcentral describes it as "eukaryotic LSU rRNA". The stretch from base 11 to 165 matches the Rfam family "5.8S ribosomal RNA". The record is from RNAcentral. Lineage: Eukaryota; Fungi; Basidiomycota; Agaricomycetes; Boletales; Boletaceae.
AAUGAAAUACAACUUUCAGCAACGGAUCUCUUGGCUCUCGCAUCGAUGAAGAACGCAGCGAAUUGCGAUAAGUAAUGUGAAUUGCAGAUUUCCAGUGAAUCAUCGAAUCUUUGAACGCAUCUUGCGCUCCUUGGCAUUCCGAGGAGCAUGCCUGUUUGAGUGUCAUUGAAUUCUCAACCAUGUCUUGCAUGGCUUGGAUCUUGGGGGUCUGCUGGCAUCGUCAGCUCUCCUGAAAUGCAUUAGCAAAAUGGCAGACAUACACGGCCUUCCGACGUGAUAAUGAUCGUCAUGGCUGGAGUGUCAGACGCCCGUGUUGCUUCCAAUCAAGUCGAGUGUUUAGCUACUAGUCGGUCGUGAGGCUGGCGAACGCACGGGCACCUACACCUUGACAACUUGACCUCAAAUCAGGUAGGACUACCCGCUGAACUUAAGCAUAUCAAUAA